Molecule: ribosomal RNA, 389 nt
Filed under: uncultured bacterium
Lineage: Bacteria
Description: bacterial SSU rRNA
Rfam family: Bacterial small subunit ribosomal RNA
Source: RNAcentral
GACGAACGCUGGCGGCGUGCUUAACACAUGCAAGUCGAGCGGUAAGGCCCUUUCGGGGUACGACGAGCGGCGAACGGGUGAGUAACACGUGGGUGACCUGCCCUCAGCUCUGGGAUAAGCCUGGGAAACCGGGUCUAAUACCGGAUAUGACUCCAUGACGCAUGUUGUGGGGUGGAAAGCCUUGUGCGGCUGAGGAUGGGCCCGCGGCCUAUCAGCUUGUUGGUGGGGUGANGGCCUACCAAGGCGACGACGGGUAGCCGGCCUGAGAGGGCGACCGGCCACACUGGGACUGAGACACGGCCCAGACUCCUACGGGAGGCAGCAGUGGGGAAUCUUGCGCAAUGGGCGAAAGCCUGACGCAGCGACGCCGCGUGGAGGAUGAAGGUCUU